RNAcentral lists this ribosomal RNA (496 nucleotides) under uncultured bacterium. RNAcentral's name for it is "partial 16S ribosomal RNA". It matches the Rfam family "Bacterial small subunit ribosomal RNA", at positions 28 to 507 of the family's 1533-position model. The record is from RNAcentral.
GAUGAACGCUGGCGGCGUGCCUAAUACAUGCAAGUCGAGCGAACGGACGAGAAGCUUGCUUCUCUGAUGUUAGCGGCGGACGGGUGAGUAACACGUGGAUAACCUACCUAUAAGACUGGGAUAACUUCGGGAAACCGGAGCUAUACCGGAUAAUAUUUUGAACCGCAUGGUUCAAAAGUGAAAGACGGUCUUGCUGUCACGUAUAGAUGGAUCCGCGCUGCAUUAGCUAGUUGGUAAGGUAACGGCUUACCAAGGCAACGAUGCAUAGCCGACCUGAGAGGGUGAUCGGCCACACUGGAACUGAGACACGGUCCAGACUCCUACGGGAGGCAGCAGUAGGGAAUCUUCCGCAAUGGGCGAAAGCCUGACGGAGCAACGCCGCGUGAGUGAUGAAGGUCUUCGGAUCGUAAAACUCUGUUAUUAGGGAAGAACAUAUGUGUAAGUAACUGUGCACAUCUUGACGGUACCUAAUCAGAAAGCCACGGCUAACUACGUG